RNAcentral lists this ribosomal RNA (417 nucleotides) under uncultured bacterium. RNAcentral describes it as "bacterial SSU rRNA". It matches the Rfam family "Bacterial small subunit ribosomal RNA", at positions 355 to 786 of the family's 1533-position model. The record is from RNAcentral.
UGGGGAAUAUUGCACAAUGGGGGAAACCCUGAUGCAGCAACGCCGCGUGAAGGAAGACGGUUUUCGGAUUGUAAACUUCUUUUCUUAGUGAAGAAGCAAGUGACGGUAGCUAAGGAAUAAGCAUCGGCUAACUACGUGCCAGCAGCCGCGGUAAUACGUAGGAUGCGAGCGUUAUCCGGAAUUACUGGGUGUAAAGGGAGCGCAGGCGGGACUGCAAGUUGGAUGUGAAAUACCGCAGCUUAACUGCGGAGCUGCAUCCAAAACUGUAGUUCUUGAGUGGAGUAGAGGCAAGCGGAAUUCCGAGUGUAGCGGUGAAAUGCGUAGAUAUUCGGAGGAACACCAGUGGCGAAGGCGGCUUGCUGGACGACAACUGACGCUGAGGCGCGAAAGCGUGGGGAGCAAACAGGAUUAGAUACC